This 585-nucleotide ribosomal RNA is filed under the name uncultured bacterium. Its description in RNAcentral is "partial 16S ribosomal RNA". It matches the Rfam family "Bacterial small subunit ribosomal RNA", at positions 355 to 1375 of the family's 1533-position model. The record is from RNAcentral.
UGGGGAAUUUUGGACAAUGGGCGAAAGCCUGAUCCAGCAAUGCCGCGUGUGUGAAGAAGGCCUUCGGGUUGUAAAGCACUUUUGUCCGGAAAGAAAUCCUUGACUCUAAUACAGUCGGGGGAUGACGGUACCGGAAGAAUAAGCACCGGCUAACUACGUGCCAGCAGCCGCGGUAAUACGUAGGGUGCAAGCGUUAAUCGGAAUUACUGGGCGUAAAGCGUGCGCAGGCGGUUUGCUAAGACCGAUGUGAAAUCCCCGGGCUCAACCUGGGAACUGCAUUGGUGACUGGCAGGCUAGAGUAUGGCAGAGGGGGGUAGAAUUCCACGUGUAGCAGUGAAAUGCGUAGAGAUGUGGAGGAAUACCGAUGGCGAAGGCAGCCCCCUGGGCCAAUACUGACGCUCAUGCACGAAAGCGUGGGGAGCAAACAGGAUUAGAUACCCUGGUAGUCCACGCCCUAAACGAUGUCAACUAGUUGUUGGGGAUUCAUUUCCUUAGUAACGUAGCUAACGCGUGAAGUUGACCGCCUGGGGAGUACGGUCGCAAGAUUAAAACUUAAAGGAAUUGACGGGGUCAUAGCUGUUUCCU